RNAcentral lists this transfer RNA (100 nucleotides) under Lysobacterales bacterium. RNAcentral describes it as "tRNA-OTHER". It matches the Rfam family "tRNA". From Rfam's summary of the family: Transfer RNA (tRNA) molecules are approximately 80 nucleotides in length. Their secondary structure includes four short double-helical elements and three loops (D, anti-codon, and T loops). The record is from RNAcentral. Lineage: Bacteria; Pseudomonadati; Pseudomonadota; Gammaproteobacteria; Lysobacterales.
GGGGCUGUAGCUCAGCGGCAGAGCGCGACAACGAUCGGCAGGCCGUUACGCGAACGGAUGAUCACAGUCGAGGGCGUGGGUUCAAUCCCCAUCAGUCCCA